RNAcentral lists this transfer RNA (74 nucleotides) under Shigella phage Sd1. Its description in RNAcentral is "tRNA-Trp". It matches the Rfam family "tRNA". Rfam says of the family: Transfer RNA (tRNA) molecules are approximately 80 nucleotides in length. Lineage: Duplodnaviria; Heunggongvirae; Uroviricota; Caudoviricetes; Drexlerviridae. The record is from RNAcentral.
AUGGGGUUAGUUCAUUGGUAGAAUAGUGGCCUCCAAAACCAAAGAGGUUGGUUCGAUUCCAACAUCCCGUGCCA